This 253-nucleotide ribosomal RNA is filed under the name uncultured Acidobacteriota bacterium. RNAcentral describes it as "uncultured Acidobacteria bacterium partial 16S ribosomal RNA". It matches the Rfam family "Bacterial small subunit ribosomal RNA", at positions 524 to 776 of the family's 1533-position model. The record is from RNAcentral. Lineage: Bacteria; Pseudomonadati; Acidobacteriota.
UACGUAGGGAGCAAGCGUUGUUCGGAUUUACUGGGCGUAAAGGGCGCGUAGGCGGCGUGUCAAGUCGAUUGUGAAAUCUCCGGGCUUAACUCGGAUCGGCCAAUCGAUACUGACGUGCUAGAGUGCAGAAAGGGCAAUCGGAAUUCUUGGUGUAGCGGUGAAAUGCGUAGAUAUCAAGAGGAACACCUGAGGCGAAGGCGGGUUGCUAGGCUGACACUGACGCUGAUGCGCGAAAGCCAGGGGAGCAAACGGG